Molecule: unclassified non-coding RNA, 148 nt
Organism: Macaca fascicularis (crab-eating macaque)
Lineage: Eukaryota; Metazoa; Chordata; Mammalia; Primates; Cercopithecidae
Rfam family: Metazoan signal recognition particle RNA
About the family: The signal recognition particle (SRP) is a universally conserved ribonucleoprotein. It is involved in the co-translational targeting of proteins to membranes.
Source: Ensembl
GCCGGGCGUGGUGACGGGCACCUGUAAUCCUAGCUACUUGGGAGGCUGAGGCAGAAGAAUCGCUUGAACCCGGGAGGCAGAGAUUGCAGUGAGCCAAGAUCAUGUCACUGCACUCCAGCCUGGGCAACAGAGCGAGACUCUGUCUCAA